UACAGAGGUCUCAAGCGUUGUUCGGAUUCAUUGGGCGUAAAGGGUGCGUAGGUGGCGAGGUUAGUCAGGUGUGAAAUCUCGGGGCUCAACCCCGAAACUGCACUUGAUACUGCCUUGCUAGAGUACUGGAGAGGAGAUUGGAAUUUACGGUGUAGCAGUGAAAUGCGUAGAUAUCGUAAGGAAGACCAGUGGCGAAGGCGAAUCUCUGGACAGUUACUGACACUGAGGCACGAAGGCCGGGGGAGCAAACGGG
RNAcentral lists this ribosomal RNA (253 nucleotides) under uncultured bacterium. Its description in RNAcentral is "partial 16S ribosomal RNA". It matches the Rfam family "Bacterial small subunit ribosomal RNA", at positions 524 to 776 of the family's 1533-position model. The record is from RNAcentral.